GGAUCGGUAGUUCAGUUGGUUAGAAUGCUGCCCUGUCACGGCAGAGGUCGCGGGUUCGAGUCCCGUCCGGUCCGCCC
Molecule: transfer RNA, 77 nt
Filed under: Bacteroidota bacterium
Lineage: Bacteria; Pseudomonadati; Bacteroidota
Description: Bacteroidetes bacterium tRNA-Asp
Rfam family: tRNA
About the family: Transfer RNA (tRNA) molecules are approximately 80 nucleotides in length. Their secondary structure includes four short double-helical elements and three loops (D, anti-codon, and T loops).
Source: RNAcentral